This 253-nucleotide ribosomal RNA is filed under the name uncultured bacterium. RNAcentral's name for it is "partial 16S ribosomal RNA". It matches the Rfam family "Bacterial small subunit ribosomal RNA", at positions 524 to 776 of the family's 1533-position model. The record is from RNAcentral.
UACGUAGGCAGCGAGCGUUGUUCGGAGUUACUGGGCGUAAAGGGUGCGUAGGCGGUUGUUUAAGUUUGGUGUGAAAUCUCCCGGCUCAACUGGGAGGGUGCGCCGAAUACUGAAUGACUAGAGUGCGGGAGAGGAUAGUGGAAUUCCUGGUGUAGCGGUGAAAUGCGUAGAUAUCAGGAGGAACACCGGUGGUGUAGACGGCUAUCUGGACCGUAACUGACGCUGAGGCACGAAAGCGUGGGUAGCAAACAGG